Molecule: ribosomal RNA, 526 nt
Filed under: uncultured microorganism
Description: bacterial SSU rRNA
Rfam family: Bacterial small subunit ribosomal RNA
Source: RNAcentral
GAGUUUGAUCUUGGCUCAGAUUGAACGCUGGCGGCAGGCUUAACACAUGCAAGUCGAGCGGAAACGAUGUAGCUUGCUACAGGCGUCGAGCGGCGGACGGGUGAGUAACGCGUAGGAAUCUGCCUAGUAGUGGGGGACAACAUGUGGAAACGCAUGCUAAUACCGCAUACGCCCUACGGGGGAAAGGAGGGGAUCUUCGGACCUUUCGCUAUUAGAUGAGCCUGCGUAAGAUUAGCUAGUUGGUAGGGUAAAGGCCUACCAAGGCGACGAUCUUUAACUGGUCUGAGAGGAUGGCCAGUCACACUGGGACUGAGACACGGCCCAGACUCCUACGGGAGGCAGCAGUGGGGAAUAUUGGACAAUGGGCGCAAGCCUGAUCCAGCCAUGCCGCGUGUGUGAAGAAGGCCUUAGGGUUGUAAAGCACUUUCAGGGGUGAGGAAGGGUGUUUGGUUAAUAUCCAAACAUUUUGACGUUAGCCCCAGAAGAAGCACCGGCUAACUCUGUGCCAGCAGCCGCCGUAAAACCG